GGACUUCGUACUUCCUCAAUUAUAAAAGAAACAUUUUAGUCUUCGGCAGAAUUUUUCACAACUUUACAGCUGAAAUAAAACUUACUGCUCUGGUUCGUCCAAGAAAUAGUCUAACACAGAGAGAGCUGCAUAUAUGCGAUUCCUACUCUUAGACUUGUGCAAAAGAUAUGAUUUCAAGAUAAACUUUUCAAGAGAAAUUAGCCUACAAGUGUGUGAUGCAUCCAGGAAAACAUGGAAAAUUGAUAUGCAACUGCACAAAAAUUGCAUAGAUGUCUGUAAAAAAAAUGAAGCUUAGAUGAAUGCAUUUAACUGUUAAAUCUAUGGCAGUUACAAAUGCAUUGAAUUAUCAUCCACAAAAGAAAAUGGAUAUUAUCCUCCAGUAUCCACUCUGAAGGUAAAGGCAAAAUAUGAUGAGACAUAGUCAAGUUUCUUGUGAGCAAUUAUGGAUGGAGAUGGUGAUCGUUUGAUUUACCCUUACUAAAGAUGCGCCAUUAUUAGUCAGAAUGAAUGGGAAUAUGCUCUAUUCAACUUCUUAUUGCACAAAUAUGAAUAGAAAGCAUUCUAUGCGUAUAAUUAGAAGAAUGGAAUGGAUUGUUAUUCAUAAAAGAAACAAGAAAUUACCCACUAAUAUCUAUUCUGAAGGCAAAGAAAAAAAAAGGGGGGGGGAAUGGGUUCUAGCCUGCAAGCAUGGAAACUAACCAAUAAUAAAGUGCAAGAUGGAAUUUAACCGAGAAUGAAGUACAAGAUGGUUUAGUUUAGUUUAGUUAUAUUAACGUCCCGUUUGAAGCAACACUAGGGCUAUUUUGGGACGGACCUCGUCAUUUUGAACCGCGGUCAGAUGACGAGGACGACACCUGAGCUGGCACCUCCCUCUCCACACCACAUCACACCACACCAGCGGGAAGACGUUUAGGCAGGACGUAUUUAACGUGCAACAGACCCCCUUACACGACGGUUCUUCGGUGGAAUCGGGUCUCGAACCUGAAACCCUCCGGUUCCGUAGCCGAGGCCUUACCACCAGGCCACCGAGGCCUAAAAGUAUGAGAUGGAAAUUAGUCAAGAAUAAAGUGCAUAGAUAAAAACUUCAACCCUAAUCAUUGAUUCCUUAAUGCAUGCUUCUUGAUGAGCAAGAAAAGAAAGGUUUAAAGACCAGUGAAAAUAACACUAUGGUCCAACACGUUGAUUGAAUUAAGUAAACCAGUAAAACGAGCAGGAAAUAAGUUGAUCAUCAUUAAAUAAUGUAAAUAACAUAGCUAUUUUACAAAAAACAAGUCAAAUGUCUCAGAUAAAAUCAUUUAUAUAUUGAUAUACAAAAUACAGCUCUGUAAUUCUUAUGAUUUUUAUAUCUGUAGAAUAAGUUUUAAUUAUUUGUUAUAGAUUUAAUUAAUAGUUUCAA
Molecule: long non-coding RNA, 1396 nt
Organism: Argiope bruennichi
Lineage: Eukaryota; Metazoa; Arthropoda; Arachnida; Araneae; Araneidae
Exons: 4
Source: RefSeq, a predicted model, not a curated record